GAUGAACGCUAGCUACAGGCUUAACACAUGCAAGUCGAGGGGAAACGAUAUUGGAAGCUUGCUUCUGAUAGGCGUCGACCGGCGCACGGGUGAGUAACGCGUAUCCAACCUGCCCAUCACUUGGGGAUAACCUUGUGAAAGUAAGACUAAUACCCAAUGACGUCUCUAGAAGACAUCUGAAAGAGAUUAAAGAUUUAUCGGUGAUGGAUGGGGAUGCGUCUGAUUAGCUUGUUGGCGGGGUAACGGCCCACCAAGGCGACGAUCAGUAGGGGUUCUGAGAGGAAGGUCCCCCCACAUUGGAACUGAGACACGGUCCAAACUCCUACGGGAGCAGCAGUGAGGAAUAUUGGUCAAUGGACGAGAGUCUGAACCAGCCAAGUAGCGUGCAGGAUGACGGCCCUAUGGGUUGUAAACUGCUUUUAUAAGGGAUAAAGUGGGAGUCGUGACUCUUUUUGCAUGUACCUUAUGAAUAAGGACCGGCUAAAUUCCGUGCCAGCAGCCG
RNAcentral lists this ribosomal RNA (502 nucleotides) under uncultured bacterium. RNAcentral's name for it is "bacterial SSU rRNA". It matches the Rfam family "Bacterial small subunit ribosomal RNA", at positions 28 to 517 of the family's 1533-position model. The record is from RNAcentral.